Molecule: long non-coding RNA, 816 nt
Organism: Mauremys reevesii (Reeves's turtle)
Lineage: Eukaryota; Metazoa; Chordata; Testudines; Geoemydidae
Exons: 3
Source: RefSeq, a predicted model, not a curated record
UCUCAGGCCUAGGAAUGGCAUUCUAAAACAAACUGAGCUAGAGCUCCCAGGUUUGGGUUAUGUGUUGAUGAAUAGUUUGAGAGCACUGCCAGCAUGUGCCUUCUGAGAAAAGAAGGGCCAGUUUGUUUCUUCAGAUGAAACCCAGGGAUUAAGCCUUGGCCAUUAGCCAUGCGGAAGGUUAAGGAGCUGAGAUUUCCUCAGUCUGAAAGACUGCUUAUCCUUCUCUGCAUGUGGGAAGGGUGCAUAGAGACUGGUGAGCUGUGGAAAUAUCUUGCUCGAUUGGACUGUUUUAUAACCCCUGAAACAGGGUGGGCUUGCUAAAAGGAACAGCAAGAGGACUGCACCCCAUACCUUGCAACCAGACCACAGGACUGUCACUGCUCAGGGGAUGAUAAAUGAGGCGGGGGAAAACUCUUCUGGAGAGAAACUUUUGAAACACUGUUUAAAUAAAGAUGACUGAUGCUGCAGGAAACAUCAACAUCUGCUGGUAGAUGCAGUAUAGUGAAUUACAGAUCUACCCAUGCCAGAUCACUCUUCGAAGGCUGCUGCUGGACACUCCUCUAGCUGACUAGCUCCCUGGAACUAGCUACAGUUAGAGAGAAGCAUGCCAACUGGAAACUGCCAAAACCAACCACCUGUGUUCAGCACAGACCCAUCACCAGUACUGCACCUCUAUAAGCAACCAUUUGGAAUGAGCAUUUUGAUUUUGUUUCCACUACAGCACAAAUGUCAAAACAACACAUAGGACCCAUCAAAAUACUAGAAAGAUUUAAGUUUUGCUAUCCUUAGUGCUAAUUCUUGGUAUUUCUGGUCAUA